AAAUUUGCACAGGUUGGUGGAGUCUCUCACAAGUGGGGGGGUGUAUGUGCACACUUGUCAUCUUUAUUUCUCCAACUGUGCACAUAUUGUAGACCUGGGAAGUCAUUGAUUCAUUUCGAGUUGGGAUUGCUGUUCUUCAUUGAAUUGAAGUCGGCUUUUGCCUUGCAUUUCCUCAGGUCUAUGUUUUUUCACAACCUCUUGUCAUGUCUAGAAUGUUGAAUCAGGUCCUUUUGUACCUAUAAAGUUAAAUAUACAACUUUCAGCAACGGAUCUCUUGGCUCUCGCAUCGAUGAAGAACGCAGCGAAAUGCGAUAAGUAAUGUGAAUUGCAGAAUUCAGUGAAUCAUCGAAUCUUUGAACGCACCUUGCGCUCCCUGGUAUUCCUAGGAGCAUGCCUGUUUGAGUGUCAUUUAAGUUCUCAACCGCACUUUUUUUGUGUGGCUUGGAUGUGGAGGUUUUCUGCAGGCUUUUUCAUCAUUAUGAAGGUCGGCUCCUCUGAAAUGCAUUAGUGGUAUCUGAGCAGAGAAAAACCCUGGUGUGAUAAUUAUCUAUGCCAGUUAGUAUGCUGCAAUAUAACAGAUUGUACUGCUUCCAAUAAACAAAACUU
RNAcentral lists this ribosomal RNA (606 nucleotides) under uncultured Inocybe. Its description in RNAcentral is "eukaryotic LSU rRNA". The stretch from base 255 to 408 matches the Rfam family "5.8S ribosomal RNA". The record is from RNAcentral. Lineage: Eukaryota; Fungi; Basidiomycota; Agaricomycetes; Agaricales; Cortinariaceae.